This is a long non-coding RNA of Salvia splendens (bonfire salvia), 1103 nucleotides long. RefSeq lists it as uncharacterized. The transcript is spliced from 3 exons. The record is from RefSeq and is a predicted model, not a curated record. NCBI's taxonomy places the organism in Eukaryota, Viridiplantae, Streptophyta, Magnoliopsida, Lamiales, Lamiaceae.
GGGUAGAGGAAUUCGAAUCCCACUCCCAUUCCCACGUUGAAACUGCCCCUCCCCACUCCCUAAAUCUCUCCCAUAUCUAUCAACGUCCCCUUCCUCUAUAAUACUCUCUUCACAAAUCAGAUUUCACCCAUUUAAGUUUCUCUGCAACAAGAAAAUUGUGGAUGAAGACGAGGAGUAUAAUCCAACUCAAGAAGAUGAGGAAAUCGACUGUUCAGAAGAUAAAAGUAAGAUUGAGGGAGAAAGUGAUGUAUGUGACGUGAAAUUGGGGGAGAACAGAGAGGAAGAAAGGAGCUGCGUUCUGCGACGGAGGAAGGGCGAAUCAGCGGGCAGCGACGGACAGCAGCCGCUGCGAUCUGACUGAGGGAAAAGUAAGGAGCGCGGGUUGCCGGCAAUGAAGACCGAGCAGCGACGACGCUAUCGGCAUACAGUAACAACAGGGAUGUGAGGAAGGCAGCGAAGGAGAUAGAAGCGGCGACGACGCUGCAAUUUGGAGCGUGGGGCAGCGGCGACGGAGAGACCAGACCGGAAUUGAGAGCGGGGAGGCAACGGCUGUUCGGGGGCGGUGACUUCGCCGAAGAAGGACGACGGACAGCACGGGGUUGUACAGCAGCAGCGGCUGACCCGGCGACUACGCCGACAGCACCAUGGCGGCAGCGUCAUAUCUUCUCGGCGAGCAGUGGCCUGUGGCGUGGAGUGAAUCGGGAAGGCUGGACGGAGGAAGGGUGAAUUAGCGAGCAGCAGCAGCAGCUCCUGCUGCGUCGCGGCGUUGGCGGCAGUGGGGCUGUGUUUUUGCCGGCGACAACCAGCGAAAGAGAGAAAGAAGCAAAUUAAGGAUUCUAUUUCGUACAUCAAUUGCAAUUUGGGGAAGAGGUGUGAAAGUGGAAGAAUGGAGUAUAUGUGUGUAUUUGAGUUGGAAUUGAUUUGUGUUGAAACAAAUUAAUUGAAUGGAAGAUUGGGCCGAGCACUUUAAAUCAAUGGGGACUUCACGCAUGCUUUUCGAGGAUGGAAUGAAACACAAGUUAAAGCUUUUAAGCAAACGAGGUUGAGCGGUGACGAGCGCGGUGGGUGUUGAGCAUAAAAGUGGAGAAUGUCUAUCAAAUGCU